GAUGAAGAACGUAGCGAAAUGCGAUAACUAAUGUGAAUUGCAGAAUUCAGUGAAUCAUCGAAUCUUUGAACGCACAUUGCGCCCCUUGGUAUUCCGAGGGGCAUGCCUGUUCGAGCGUCAUUAUAACCCCUCAAGCUCAGCUUGGUGUUGGGGCCUGCUGCACUGGCAGCCCUUAAAAUCAGUGGCGGCGCCAUCUGGCUCUAAGCGUAGUAAUUCUUCUCGCUAUGGAGUCCUGGUGGAUGCUUGCCAUCAACCCCCAAUUUUUCUAUGGUUGACCUCGGAUCAGGUAGGGAUACCCGCUGAACUUAAGCAUAUCAAUAAGCGGAGGA
RNAcentral lists this unclassified non-coding RNA (329 nucleotides) under soil metagenome. RNAcentral's name for it is "partial contains 5.8S ribosomal RNA, internal transcribed spacer 2, and large subunit ribosomal RNA". The stretch from base 1 to 120 matches the Rfam family "5.8S ribosomal RNA", at positions 35 to 154 of the family's 154-position model. The record is from RNAcentral.